RNAcentral lists this ribosomal RNA (515 nucleotides) under uncultured bacterium. Its description in RNAcentral is "partial 16S ribosomal RNA". It matches the Rfam family "Bacterial small subunit ribosomal RNA", at positions 28 to 523 of the family's 1533-position model. The record is from RNAcentral.
GAUGAACGCUGGCGGCGUGCCUAAUACAUGCAAGUCGAGCGAAUGGAUUAAGAGCUUGCUCUUAUGAAGUUAGCGGCGGACGGGUGGGUAACACGUGGGUAACCUGCCCAUAAGACUGGGAUAACUCCGGGAAACCGGAGCUAAUACCGGAUAACAUUUUGAACCGCAUGGUUCGAUAUUGAAAGGCGGCUUCGGCUGUCACUUAUGGAUGGACCCGCGUCGCAUUAGCUAGUUGGUGAGGUAACGGCUCACCAAGGCAACGAUGCGUAGCCGACCUGAGAGGGUGAUCGGCCACACUGGGACUGAGACACGGCCCAGACUCCUACGGGAGGCAGCAGUAGGGAAUCUUCCGCAAUGGACGAAAGUCUGACGGAGCAACGCCGCGUGAGUGAUGAAGGCUUUCGGGUCGUAAAACUCUGUUGUUAGGGAAGAACAAGUGCUAGUUGAAUAAGCUGGCACCUUGACGGUACCUAACCAGAAAGCCACGGCUAACUACGUGCCAGCCGCCGCAGUAA